UAACCUGCCCAUCAGAGGGGGAUAACAUUCGGAAACGGAUGCUAAAACCGCAUAGGUUCUUUAGUCGCAUGACUGAAGAAGGAAAAGAGGCUUCGGCUUCUGCUGAUGGAUGGACCCGCGGUGCAUUAGCUAGUUGGUGAGGUAACGGCUCACCAAGGCGAUGAUGCAUAGCCGACCUGAGAGGGUGAUCGGCCACAUUGGGACUGAGACACGGCCCAA
Molecule: ribosomal RNA, 219 nt
Filed under: uncultured bacterium
Lineage: Bacteria
Description: partial 16S ribosomal RNA
Rfam family: Bacterial small subunit ribosomal RNA
Source: RNAcentral